RNAcentral lists this ribosomal RNA (627 nucleotides) under uncultured bacterium. RNAcentral's name for it is "bacterial LSU rRNA". It matches the Rfam family "Bacterial large subunit ribosomal RNA", at positions 497 to 1119 of the family's 2925-position model. The record is from RNAcentral.
AGUACCGUGAGGGAAAGGCGAAAAGAACCCCGGGAGGGGAGUGAAAUNGAUCCUGAAACCGUAUGCUUACAAAAAGUAGGAGCCUCGUAAGGGGUGACUGCGUACCUUUUGUAUAAUGGGUCAGCGACUUACAUUUCAGUGGCAAGGUUAACCCGAAUAGGGNAAGCCGUAGAGAAAUUCGAGUCCGAAUAGGGCGUCAUAGUCGCUGGGUGUAGACCCCGAAACCAAGUGAUCUAUCCAUGGGCAGGAUGAAGGUGCCGUAACAGGUACUGGAGGUCCGAACCGACUAGUGUUGCAAAACUAGCGGAUGAGCUGUGGAUAGGGGUGAAAGGCUAAACAAACUUGGAAAUAGCUGGUUCUCUCCGAAAACUAUUUAGGUAGUGCCUCAAGUAUUACCGUCGGGGGUAGAGCACUGUUUUGGCUAGGGGGUCAUGGGCGACUUACCAAACCAAGGGCAAACUCCGAAUACCGACGAGUACAGCUUGGGGAGACAGAGCACCGGGGUGCUAACGUCCGGACUCAAGAGGGAAACAACCCAGACCGCCAGCUAAGGUCCCUAAAAUUGGCUAAGUGGGAAACGAAGUGGGAAGGCUAUAACAGUCAGGAUGUUGGCUUAGAAGCAGCCAU